RNAcentral lists this ribosomal RNA (468 nucleotides) under uncultured bacterium. RNAcentral's name for it is "partial 16S ribosomal RNA". It matches the Rfam family "Bacterial small subunit ribosomal RNA", at positions 28 to 507 of the family's 1533-position model. The record is from RNAcentral.
GACGAACGCUGGCGGCGUGCUUAACACAUGCAAGUCGAACGGAAAGGCGCUGCGCUUGCUGGGCUCUCGAUUGCGGAACGGGUGUGUAACACGCGAGUAUCCCGUCCUUGUCUGUCUGAUAUCAUCUCGAAACACGGGCGAAUACCGCAGAUAAUCUCCUGCACCACGUGGGGGGAUGGAAAAAGUCGGCGGUUGUGUAUGGUCUCGCGGGUUACCAGCCUGUUGGGGGGGUAGGUGCUGUCCAAGGCUUCGACGGGUAGCCGGCCUGAGAGGGUGACCGGCGACCUUGGGACUGAGGUACGGCACAGACUGGUACGGGAGGCAACAGUGGGGAAUCUUGCAGAAUGGGCGGAAGCCUGAUGCAGAAACGCCGCGUGCGGGAUAACGGCCUUCGGGGUGUAAACCGAUUUCGCAUGUGACGAAGCGUGAGUGACGGUAAUGGAUAAAGAAGCACCGGCUAACUACGUG